ACGGAAGGCAGCAGUCGGGAAUAUUGCGCAAUGGAGGGAACUCUGACGCAGUGACGCCGCGUAUAGGAAGAAGGUUUUCGGAUUGUAAACUAUUGUCGUUAGGGAAGAAAGAAAUGACAGUACCUAAGGAGGAAGCACCGGCUAACUAUGUGCCAGCAGCCGCGGUAAUACAUAGGGUGCGAGCGUUAUCCGGAUUUAUUGGGUGUAAAGGGUGCGUAGACGGGAAAUUAAGUUAGUUGUGAAAUCCCUCGGCUUAACUGAGGAACUGCAACUAAAACUGAUAUUCUUGAGUGUCGGAGGGGAAAGUGGAAUUCCUAGUGUAGCGGUGAAAUGCGUAGAUAUUAGGAGGAACACCAGUGGCGAAGGCGACUUUCUGGACGAUAACUGACGUUGAUGCACGAAAGUGUGGGGAGCAAACAGGAUUAGAUACCCUGGUA
Molecule: ribosomal RNA, 437 nt
Filed under: uncultured Oscillospiraceae bacterium
Lineage: Bacteria; Bacillati; Bacillota; Clostridia; Eubacteriales; Oscillospiraceae
Description: bacterial SSU rRNA
Rfam family: Bacterial small subunit ribosomal RNA
Source: RNAcentral